Molecule: ribosomal RNA, 253 nt
Filed under: uncultured bacterium
Lineage: Bacteria
Description: partial 16S ribosomal RNA
Rfam family: Bacterial small subunit ribosomal RNA
Source: RNAcentral
UACGUAGGUGGCAAGCGUUGUCCGGAUUUACUGGGCGUAAAGAGCGCGCAGGCGGCCGAGUAAGUCGAAUGUGAAAGCCCCCGGCUCAACUGGGGAAGGUCAUUCGAUACUGUUCGGCUCGAAGAUAGGAGAGGGAAGCGGAAUUUCAGGUGUAGUGGUGAAAUGCGUAGAUAUCUGAAGGAACACCAGUGGCGAAGGCGGCUUUCUGGCCUAUACUUGACGCUGAGGCGCGAAAGCUAGGGGAGCAAACGGG